This 497-nucleotide ribosomal RNA is filed under the name uncultured bacterium. RNAcentral describes it as "partial 16S ribosomal RNA". It matches the Rfam family "Bacterial small subunit ribosomal RNA", at positions 28 to 507 of the family's 1533-position model. The record is from RNAcentral.
GAUGAACGCUGGCGGCGUGCCUAAUACAUGCAAGUCGAGCGAACAGACGAGGAGCUUGCUCCUCUGACGUUAGCGGCGGACGGGUGAGUAACACGUGGAUAACCUACCUAUAAUACUGGGAUAACUUCGGGAAACCGGAGCUAAUACCGGAUAAUAUAUUGAACCGCAUGGUUCAAUAGUGAAAGACGGUUUUGCUGUCACUUAUAGAUGGAUCCGCGCCGCAUUAGCUAGUUGGUAAGGUAACGGCUUACCAAGGCAACGAUGCGUAGCCGACCUGAGAGGGUGAUCGGCCACACUGGAACUGAGACACGGUCCAGACUCCUACGGGAGGCAGCAGUAGGGAAUCUUCCGCAAUGGGCGAAAGCCUGACGGAGCAACGCCGCGUGAGUGAUGAAGGUCUUCGGAUCGUAAAACUCUGUUAUUAGGGAAGAACAAAUGUGUAAGUAACUAUGCACGUCUUGACGGUACCUAAUCAGAAAGCCACGGCUAACUACGUG